UGGGGAAUAUUGCACAAUGGGCGCAAGCCUGAUGCAGCCAUGCCGCGUGUAUGAAGAAGGCCUUCGGGUUGUAAAGUACUUUCAGCGGGGAGGAAGGCGAUAAGGUUAAUAACCUUGUCGAUUGACGUUACCCGCAGAGGAAGCACCGGCUAACUCCGUGCCAGCAGCCGCGGUAAUACGGAGGGUGCAAGCGUUAAUCGGAAUUACUGGGCGUAAAGCGCACGCAGGCGGUCUGUCAAGUCGGAUGUGAAAUCCCCGGGCUCAACCUGGGAACUGCAUUCGAAACUGGCAGGCUAGAGUCUUGUAGAGGGGGGGUAGAAUUCCAGGUGUAGCGGUGAAAUGCGUAGAGAUCUGGAGGAAUACCGGUGGCGAAGGCGGCCCCCUGGACAAAGACUGACGCUCAGGUGCGAAAGCGUGGGGAGCAAACA
Molecule: ribosomal RNA, 428 nt
Filed under: uncultured bacterium
Lineage: Bacteria
Description: partial 16S ribosomal RNA
Rfam family: Bacterial small subunit ribosomal RNA
Source: RNAcentral